This 433-nucleotide ribosomal RNA is filed under the name uncultured bacterium. Its description in RNAcentral is "partial 16S ribosomal RNA". It matches the Rfam family "Bacterial small subunit ribosomal RNA", at positions 29 to 507 of the family's 1533-position model. The record is from RNAcentral.
AACGAACGCUGGCGGCAUGCCUAACACAUGCAAGUCGAACGAGACCUUCGGGUCUAGUGGCGCACGGGUGCGUAACGCGUGGGAACCUGCCCUUAGGUUCGGCAUAACUCCCCGAAAGGGGUGCUAAUACCGGAUAAUGUCUUCGGACCAAGGAUUUAUCGCCUUUGGUUGGGCCCGCGUUGGAUUAGCUAGUUGGUAGGGUAAAAGCAUACUAAGGCGACGAUCCAUAGCUGGUCUGAGAGGAUGAUCAGCCACACUGGGACUGAGACACGGCCCAGACUCCUACGGGAGGCAGCAGUGGGGAAUAUUGGACAAUGGGCGAAAGCCUGAUCCAGCAAUGACGCGUGAGUGAUGAAGGCCUUAGGGUUGUAAAGCGCUUUUAACCGGGAUGAUAAUGACAGUACCGGGAGAAUAAGCUACGGCUAACUCCGUG